RNAcentral lists this ribosomal RNA (512 nucleotides) under uncultured bacterium. RNAcentral's name for it is "partial 16S ribosomal RNA". It matches the Rfam family "Bacterial small subunit ribosomal RNA", at positions 28 to 523 of the family's 1533-position model. The record is from RNAcentral.
GAUGAACGCUGGCGGCGUGCCUAAUACAUGCAAGUCGAGCGAAUGAUGAGGAGCUUGCUCCUCUGAUUUAGCGGCGGACGGGUGAGUAACACGUGGGUAACCUGCCUGUAAGAUGGGGAUAACUCCGGGAAACCGGGGCUAAUACCGAAUAAUAAAAGAGGAAGCAUUUCUUCUUUUUGAAAGUUGGUUUCGGCUAACACUUACAGAUGGGCCCGCGGCGCAUUAGCUAGUUGGUGAGGUAACGGCUCACCAAGGCGACGAUGCGUAGCCGACCGGAGAGGGUGAUCGGCCACACGGGGACUGAGACACGGCCCAGACUCCUACGGGAGGCAGCAGUAGGGAAUCUUCGGCAAUGGGCGAAAGCCUGACCGAGCAACGCCGCGUGAGCGAGGAAGGCCUUCGGGUCGUAAAGCUCUGAUGUCAGGGUAGAACAAGUACGAGAGUAACUGCUCGUACCUUGACGGUACCUGACCAGAAAGCCACGGCUAACUACGUGCCAGCAGCCGCGGUAA